GACUAGUCCAAGUGCCAUCAUGUUUACAACUGAUUGAUCACAAGCAAUCGCAAAUUUCGUUGUUCCUUCUCCACUCUCACUGCUUCAUUUGACUAGCCUUUA
RNAcentral lists this Y RNA (102 nucleotides) under Macaca mulatta (Rhesus monkey). RNAcentral describes it as "Y RNA (ENSMMUG00000056623.1)". It matches the Rfam family "Y RNA". Rfam says of the family: Y RNAs are components of the Ro ribonucleoprotein particle (Ro RNP), in association with Ro60 and La proteins. The Y RNAs and Ro60 and La proteins are well conserved, but the function of the Ro RNP is not known. Lineage: Eukaryota; Metazoa; Chordata; Mammalia; Primates; Cercopithecidae. The record is from Rfam by way of RNAcentral.